GACGAACGCUGGCGGCGCGCUUAACACAUGCAAGUCGAACGGAAAGGCCCUGCUUUUGUGGUGUGCUCGAGUGGCGAACGGGUGAGUAACACGUGAGUAACCUGCCCUUGACUUUGGGAUAACUUCAGGAAACUGGGGCUAAUACCGGAUAGGAGCUCCUGCUGCAUGGUGGGGGUUGGAAAGUUUCGGCGGGUGGGGAUGGACUCGCGGCUUAUCAGCUUGUUGGUGGGGUAGUGGCUUACCAAGGCUUUGACGGGUAGCCGGCCUGAGAGGGUGACCGGCCACAUUGGGACUGAGAUACGGCCCAGACUCCUACGGGAGGCAGCAGGGGGGAAUAUUGUACAAUGGGCGGAAGCCUGAUGCAGAAACGCCGCGUGCGGGAUGACGGCCUUCGGGUUGUAAACCGCUUUCGCCUGUGACGAAGCGUGAGUGACGGUAAUGGGUAAAGAAGCACCGGCUAACUACGUG
Molecule: ribosomal RNA, 468 nt
Filed under: uncultured bacterium
Lineage: Bacteria
Description: partial 16S ribosomal RNA
Rfam family: Bacterial small subunit ribosomal RNA
Source: RNAcentral